GUUAGGAUGUAGCUCAGUGGUAGAGCACUUGCCUAGCAUAAGCAAGGCCUGGAUUCAAUUCCCAGUACUAAAA
This 73-nucleotide transfer RNA is filed under the name Marmota monax (woodchuck). Its description in RNAcentral is "tRNA.Ala". It matches the Rfam family "tRNA". From Rfam's summary of the family: Transfer RNA (tRNA) molecules are approximately 80 nucleotides in length. Lineage: Eukaryota; Metazoa; Chordata; Mammalia; Rodentia; Sciuridae. The record is from RNAcentral.